GAUGAACGCUAGCUACAGGCUUAACACAUGCAAGUCGAGGGGUAACGAGAGGGAAGCUUGCUUUCCUUGUCGACGACCGGCGCACGGGUGAGUAACGCGUAUCCAACCUGCCCCCAACUAGGGAAUAACCUUGCGAAAGUAAGACUAAUACCCUAUAAUUUCCUCAGAUGCCAUCUGACGAGGAAUAAAGAUUUAUCGGUUGUGGAUGGGGAUGCGUCUGAUUAGCUUGUUGGCGGGGUAACGGCCCACCAAGGCAACGAUCAGUAGGGGUUCUGAGAGGAAGGUCCCCCACAUUGGAACUGAGACACGGUCCAAACUCCUACGGGAGGCAGCAGUGAGGAAUAUUGGUCAAUGGGCGGAAGCCUGAACCAGCCAAGUAGCGUGCAGGAUGACGGCCCUAUGGGUUGUAAACUGCUUUUAUACAGGAAUAAAGUUAGCCACGUGUGGUUAUUUGUAGGUACUGUAUGAAUAAGGACCGGCUAAUUCCGUGCCAGCAGCCGCCGUAA
RNAcentral lists this ribosomal RNA (506 nucleotides) under uncultured bacterium. RNAcentral describes it as "partial 16S ribosomal RNA". It matches the Rfam family "Bacterial small subunit ribosomal RNA", at positions 28 to 523 of the family's 1533-position model. The record is from RNAcentral.